GGAGGAAUAUCGAAGCGGUCAUAACGAGGCGGUCUUGAAAACCGUUUGGGGGCAACCCCACGGGGGUUCGAAUCCCUCUUCCUCCGCCA
Molecule: transfer RNA, 89 nt
Filed under: Clostridiales bacterium
Lineage: Bacteria; Bacillati; Bacillota; Clostridia; Eubacteriales
Description: tRNA-Ser
Rfam family: tRNA
About the family: Transfer RNA (tRNA) molecules are approximately 80 nucleotides in length. Their secondary structure includes four short double-helical elements and three loops (D, anti-codon, and T loops).
Source: RNAcentral